Molecule: ribosomal RNA, 518 nt
Filed under: uncultured bacterium
Lineage: Bacteria
Description: partial 16S ribosomal RNA
Rfam family: Bacterial small subunit ribosomal RNA
Source: RNAcentral
UGGGGAAUUUUGGACAAUGGGCGCAAGCCUGAUCCAGCAAUGCCGCGUGCAGGAUGAAGGCCUUCGGGUUGUAAACUGCUUUUGUACGGAACGAAAAGCCUCUCUCUAAUACAGGGGGGUGAUGACGGUACCGUAAGAAUAAGCACCGGCUAACUACGUGCCAGCAGCCGCGGUAAUACGUAGGGUGCAAGCGUUAAUCGGAAUUACUGGGCGUAAAGCGUGCGCAGGCGGUUUUGUAAGACAGUGGUGAAAUCCCCGGGCUCAACCUGGGAACUGCCAUUGUGACUGCAAGGCUGGAGUGCGGCAGAGGGGGGAUGGAAUUCCGCGUGUAGCAGUGAAAUGCGUAGAUAUGCGGAGGAACACCGAUGGCGAAGGCAAUCCCCUGGGCCUGCACUGACGCUCAUGCACGAAAGCGUGGGGAGCAAAACAGGAUUAGAUACCCUGGUAGUCCACGCCCUAAACGAUGUCAACUGGUUGUUGGGGAUUUAUUUCUUCAGUAACGAAGCUAACGCGUGAAG